Molecule: long non-coding RNA, 1101 nt
Filed under: Oryza sativa aus subgroup
Lineage: Eukaryota; Viridiplantae; Streptophyta; Magnoliopsida; Poales; Poaceae
Description: lncRNA OsN22_07G004100
Source: RNAcentral
AUGGCUGCGAUGCACAAUAGCAGGAUUCUGAAAAAGACUGAAAUGAAAGAGUUUGUUGGGGGCGCCGCACCAUCAAGUACAACAUCAGACCCUCUUGUUGAUAUGACAAAUACAAAUGGUCUCGGUUUCACUAAUAGACGGGGCAAGGGUAGAGCCAAGUCGUUAUGUGUUGUUCGAAGAAACGACAAAGAGUGUCACGGCUCUAAAGAAAACUGUGACAACUCUGAACAGAACACUCCAAUAGCUUCAAAUGGUAUGCUUCAUCAGAAUUUGUGCAUCCUAUUGUCACGCCUAAUAGUCAGCCAUUUGCGGAUGACCGUGAUGCAUCCUUCAGUACACCAAGCAAUUUGCCUAUGUGCACAGGAGCAAAAGGAUGAGAGGAACAAGAAGGACCAUGAGAGAAGAAAACGGAAGAAGGAGGAAAGUCAAGUUUUAAAGUCUGCAACCAAUAGUGGUGUAGCCCCACUUGGCAAGCUUUCCAAUAUAAGUGCUGCUGAUUUAAUGACAUGCCAAUUGGAAGUGAACGAUUCUUCUACGUUGCAUAAACAACGAAGUGAUGCUUCCCAUCUUAAUAUCACACCCAGACGUCUCCCAUUUACAAUCAUCAACAAUGUAGCUCACUAUGGUCCAAAUGAAGUUCCAAUGAGCUGCGUAAUUCAAACAACCCAAAACAGAGACGUCAAGUUGCGUAAUGCAACUCUUACACCGGAGCAGAAGCAAGCUAAGGUCGAUCGACAGAGAACAAGACGUCAAGCACUAACCAAUGAACAGAGACUAGAGAUGAAUGAUUGCCGUAGGGUUGCAAGGCAAACUCUGCCGAAUGUGGAAAUACAUGAUAUGAAUGCUCGCCAGCGAUCAAGACGACAAAGUGUUACUCCUGGAGAACGGUCUGCUCAUCUGGCACGACGUAAUGAACUGUAUGCAACUAGGCGUGACAAACCAUGCGCUCAAUCGAUUGCAUUGGAGUGCCCUGAGGAUUGUAGCUCGUCGUUGCUAAAUCCAACGCCUUCCUUUGAAACAACCGGUGAUGUGCCAGCUACAUCGAGCCUGCAAACUGAACUUGCUGCAGAUCAUCUUGCACGAUCGUCUAACUUUGAUGAU